RNAcentral lists this ribosomal RNA (596 nucleotides) under uncultured bacterium. RNAcentral describes it as "bacterial SSU rRNA". It matches the Rfam family "Bacterial small subunit ribosomal RNA", at positions 212 to 805 of the family's 1533-position model. The record is from RNAcentral.
UUACCGGUGUAAGAUGGGGAUGCGUUCCAUUAGAUAGUAGGCGGGGUAACGGCCCACCUAGUCUUCGAUGGAUAGGGGUUCUGAGAGGAAGGUCCCCCACAUUGGAACUGAGACACGGUCCAAACUCCUACGGGAGGCAGCAGUGAGGAAUAUUGGUCAAUGGACGAGAGUCUGAACCAGCCAAGUAGCGUGAAGGAUGAAGGUUCUAUGGAUUGUAAACUUCUUUUAUACGGGAAUAAACGGAUCCACGUGUGGAUUUUUGCAUGUACCGUAUGAAUAAGGAUCGGCUAACUCCGUGCCAGCAGCCGCGGUAAUACGGAGGAUCCGAGCGUUAUCCGGAUUUAUUGGGUUUAAAGGGAGCGUAGAUGGGUUGUUAAGUCAGUUGUGAAAGUUUGCGGCUCAACCGUAAAAUUGCAAUUGAUACUGGCAGUCUUGAGUACAGUUGAGGUAGGCGGAAUUCGUGGUGUAGCGGUGAAAUGCUUAGAUAUCACGAAGAACUCCGAUUGCGAAGGCAGCUUACUAACCUGUAACUGACAUUGAUGCUCGAAAGUGUGGGUAUCAAACAGGAUUAGAUACCCUGGUAGUCCACACGGUAA